CCUACGGGAGGCAGCAGUGGGGAAUCUUGCGCAAUGGGCGAAAGCCUGACGCAGCCAUGCCGCGUGAAUGAUGAAGGUCUUAGGAUUGUAAAAUUCUUUCACCGGGGACGAUAAUGACGGUACCCGGAGAAGAAGCCCCGGCUAACUUCGUGCCAGCAGCCGCGGUAAUACGAAGGGGGCUAGCGUUGCUCGGAAUUACUGGGCGUAAAGGGAGCGUAGGCGGAUAGUUUAGUCAGAGGUGAAAGCCCAGGGCUCAACCUUGGAAUUGCCUUUGAUACUGGCUAUCUUGAGUGUGGGAGAGGUAUGUGGAACUCCGAGUGUAGAGGUGAAAUUCGUAGAUAUUCGGAAGAACACCAGUGGCGAAGGCGACAUACUGGCCCAUUACUGACGCUGAGGCUCGAAAGCGUGGGGAGCAAACAGGAUUAGAUACCCGUGGUAGUCCACGCUGUAAACGAUGAGUGCUAGUUGUCGGCAGGCAUGCCUGUCGGUGACGCAGCUAACGCAUUAAGCACUCCGCCUGGGGAGUACGGUCGCAAGAUUAAAACCGUCAAAGGAAUUGACGGCUGAGACGNGCGAGCGACGACGAGGGAGAGG
Molecule: ribosomal RNA, 594 nt
Filed under: uncultured bacterium
Lineage: Bacteria
Description: bacterial SSU rRNA
Rfam family: Bacterial small subunit ribosomal RNA
Source: RNAcentral